This 297-nucleotide long non-coding RNA is filed under the name Medicago truncatula (barrel medic). Its description in RNAcentral is "long non-coding RNA (MTRU_LNC003159)". Lineage: Eukaryota; Viridiplantae; Streptophyta; Magnoliopsida; Fabales; Fabaceae. The record is from RNAcentral.
CAACGACCUAUCCUUCUAACACAAGGUGUGCAAAAGAGGAUAGACAAUAAUCACAUCAGAGUCUGAAACAAAAUAAAAGCAAUAGUCGGUCCCCAAACUUAAAAAUGGGUUAUGGCACCAACCAUGGAACUUAUAAUGAUAAACAGUAAAAUGUGCUUUAAACUACCAAAAGGAAAGAAGCUUGAUAUUUCCCAAGAGAUGAUAAGGUGUGCUCUCUUUUGGAAAGAAAAUUCUAGCAUUCCUUUCCUUCCAAAUUAACCAAGUGCUUCCGAACCAGAUUAACUGCAUAAAAGAACG